RNAcentral lists this long non-coding RNA (239 nucleotides) under Mytilus galloprovincialis (Mediterranean mussel). The record is from RNAcentral. Lineage: Eukaryota; Metazoa; Mollusca; Bivalvia; Mytilida; Mytilidae.
CAGGGAUGAUUCCACUAUAUAGUUUAGGGCCGCUUAGCGGCCCUUAAGUCAGCCAGCGGCCCCAAAAAAUGUGUGUGAAUAUAAAUUCCCAAUUCAGGAAAAAUAAAAUAAAAAUCGGUAAUUCCGGAAAAGUUUCUGUCACCGAUUACGGCAACUAUAAUUUUUCAUAGUUUGUUGACAAAACGUAGUAAAAUCCGGAUAAGAAUGUUGACUACGAUCGCAUUUUAUUAACAACAUUU